Talpa occidentalis (Iberian mole) is the source of this 506-nucleotide long non-coding RNA. RefSeq lists it as uncharacterized. The transcript is spliced from 3 exons. Lineage: Eukaryota; Metazoa; Chordata; Mammalia; Eulipotyphla; Talpidae. The record is from RefSeq and is a predicted model, not a curated record.
UCUGGGCUGCUGCCUCCCUGCAGGGCAGACUCUGGAUGUCACAGAGGCGGCCACUCCACCCAGCGGGGCAAAGGCAGUAGAAAGAGGCUCCAGUCCGGGUACAGCGACCCCCAUUCUGGCAGGGCGAACAGCUACACCAGUCUAUCAGCGUCUGGAGGCCCCACCAGGCAUCAGAGUCCAGAGGUAGGUGUCAAGUCAAGGACCCCACCAUCCACUUCUUCUCAAGUAUGAUGCCCCAUCUGAUGGCAGAGCCCCCAAAUCCCAAGAAGAGGUCCCACCCACCUGGAGCUGCAGUCAGGAAACCUCACCUACAUGGAAGGGGGAGAAGGGAGAGAACCAAAAGUUCCCUUUGAGCUUCCAAACACCUGCUGCUGGUUGUGUCUGCUCUAAUCCUGGGCUGGCACGAGAGGCCUCCCCAGACCUUCACUGGCCAGGACAGUGGCCACUGACAUGUGGAUCUAAAGUCCUUGAAAUGUGGUUCGUCUAAAUUGAGGAGUGGUGUAAGU